This 1044-nucleotide long non-coding RNA is filed under the name Scleropages formosus (Asian bonytongue). Its description in RNAcentral is "lncRNA (ENSSFOG00015027878.1)". The record is from RNAcentral. Lineage: Eukaryota; Metazoa; Chordata; Actinopteri; Osteoglossiformes; Osteoglossidae.
GUGAAAAAUCAGAAUUGUUUGUAACAUCUUUUUUUCUUUUUUUGAAUUAGAACAGUACCAAAUGUCUUGGUUUUAAGCUACUUACUGGAUAAAGGUUAAAGUCAGUGAGUAUUCAGUAUGUCUUUGGGCUACUCAGUGUCCUUUUGCCCAGUGGGUCCGAACUCAUAGCGUACUUGUGAUCCGCCCGUCCCGCACUCCACGAACUCCAUUCCGGGUUUUAUCUCCCCGACGGACGGCUCGGACCCCGCUGGGGUCGCACUUUCACACACCGCCUCCUCCCGGCUACGCACGACUCAGAGAGGGAGUGUAUGUGUGUGUCCGUGAGAGAGAGAGAGAGAUCUGAGGGAAGAAAGGGAACCCCUCUGACACACUUCGCUCCUCAGUUCAUCAUUUCAUUUUUUUUAAAAAAAAAAAACUUUUUCUUACUUUUUUAAAAAGAAAAAAAAAACAGCAAGUGGACAGAAAAACCUGCGAGGUGAAAGAAUUUCCCCCGCCAAGCGAGGGGGGUGAAGAAGAGAAAGAAGAGAUUAUAUUCUCGCUGAAUAAGAAAGUGUGAGAAGAAGUGGAGGAGUGAAAGUGCCGAGCGAGCGCGCCGGUGUGUGAUCAUGGAAACACGGAUACUGACACUGAACGCAGCCGGAGCCGCGCGCUUCCUACUGCUCGCCCUGGUUUGUAUCGCUGUGGUCCAAAGCUCUAAGGUAUGGAGCGAGGUGGCAGGUCCGGAAGACUUGGAGGUUGAGAGGGGGGGCAGCAGAGGGCUCAGGGGCUUCCUGGCUGAAUCUGACGACGAGGACUUUGCUGUAAAUGAGGCCUCCGGAGAUGAACCCAGUGGUGAGGAGGAUGGAAGCACUCCAGAACCCCCCAUAACUGAAGUUUCAGGUGUCACAGGUAAGUCACCAUUUACCAUUUAGUCCCUCAGCACCUCAAGAAUCAAGCUUUCUCAACGUGAAAUUCGGGCAGGUUUCCCAUUUCUAACUUUGAUUGUUCAGGGUCCAUUGUCUGCUUUGGUUUGGCCCAUGUGACACAGCAAGCAAAUAGUUCCCA